This 460-nucleotide ribosomal RNA is filed under the name uncultured bacterium. RNAcentral's name for it is "partial 16S ribosomal RNA". It matches the Rfam family "Bacterial small subunit ribosomal RNA", at positions 338 to 795 of the family's 1533-position model. The record is from RNAcentral.
CCUACGGGAGGCAGCAGUGAGGAAUAUUGGUCAAUGGACGAGAGUCUGAACCAGCCAAGUAGCGUGAAGGAUGACUGCCCUAUGGGUUGUAAACUUCUUUUAUAUGGGAAUAAAACGUUCCACGUGUGGGAUUUUGUAUGUACCAUAUGAAUAAGGAUCGGCUAACUCCGUGCCAGCAGCCGCGGUAAUACGGAGGAUCCGAGCGUUAUCCGGAUUUAUUGGGUUUAAAGGGGGCGUAGGUGGAUUGUUAAGGCAGUUGUGAAAGUUGGCGGCUCAACCGUAGAAGUGCAGUUGAAACUGGCAGUCUUGAGUACAGUAGAGGUAGGCGGAAUUCGUGGUGUAGCGGUGAAAUGCUUAGAUAUCACGAAGAACUCCGAUUGCGAAGGCAGUUCACUGGACUGCAACUGACACUGAGGCUCGAAAGUGUGGGUAUCAAACAGGAUUAGAUACCCCUGUAGUC